Molecule: long non-coding RNA, 2708 nt
Organism: Rosa rugosa (rugosa rose)
Lineage: Eukaryota; Viridiplantae; Streptophyta; Magnoliopsida; Rosales; Rosaceae
Exons: 3
Source: RefSeq, a predicted model, not a curated record
GAUCUCAGAAUUUGAAUCCACGCGUUGGAUUAAAGUCAUCCGAAAACCCGGAAAAGUUGUUGGCGCGUGGAGAGCGUGUAAGGGGACAGGCCGAACCUCGAGAUGCUGUGGCAGACAGCUUUAGCCGAAAGCAGAUUUGACUGCCGUAAAUCACGGAAGGGAUAAGCCGUGACACAAGUGGGCCGUACUUGGGCCUGUCUCGGAUCAAGGCAUCACUGUAGCUGUGGGUGGAGGCCUGAUGGGCCGAGUUUCAGAAACAGUUUUGGACAUGAUGGGCCGAGUUUCUGAAACAGUUUUGGAUGAGUUGGGCCGAAUUGUUGAAACAGUUGAAACAGUUGGUUUAAAUAAAAGGAUUGGUAUGGAUAAUAACGUGAGCAGCCGUGCUCGAGUGGUUGAGUGUACAGUUCGUGUACAAGAGGUCUGAGGUUCGAACCUCGCCUCUCGUUUAUUUUUAUUAUGUUCGUUAUGACAUAAUAAGUAUAAAAUUUGUACACAUUAUAUUAAGCACAGCUUGUGCUCCAGUGGUUGGGGGACAAAGGUUUCGUGCGGCAGGUUGAGGUUUCGAACCUUGCCUUCCCCGUUAUUUUAUUUAUGUCGCUUAUGACAUAAUAAAUAUAACACGUGAGCAUAUAUUAAUGAAGGCAGCUCUUGCUUCAGUGGUUGGGAGCAAAACCUUCGUGUUCGAGGUCGGGAGUUCGAACCUUACCUCUUACAAAUAUUUUUGGAUCUCGUAUAUGCUUGAUAUACGGACGUAUAUACGAUAUGUACGGUAUACAUAAGUAUAUACGGUCUGUACGGUAUGCAUACGUAUAUACAGUUGUACGGUAUGCAUACGUAUAUACGGUCUGUAUGGUAUGUAUACGUAUAUACGGUAUGUACAAUUUCAUACCGUAGCCGAGCUGGAAGUUGGUGGGCCGAUUGGUAGGCCCAAAUAGUAAGCCCAAUUGUUCGGCCCGAUUGGUAGGCCCAAAUGGUAGGCCCAAAUGUUAAGCCCAAUCGUUCGGCCCGAAUAGUAGGCCCAAAUGUUAAACCCAAAGUGGUUUGGGCCGGUUCGAAAUGUGGAUGGUCCGAUUUCUUCAGGCCCAAUUGGCCAGCCCUAGUGCUUAGCCCAAGGAUUGAGCAAGCCCAAGUCAUCAUCAUUGGGUGACAUAAUUUAUUGGCGUACUUUUGGGGAUGAUUUGUUUUGAGUGAUGCAUCUCUAUGGUUGUGAAGAGUGGUGCAUGCUUAAGUUUUACUAUGGAGAUUUACCGUGAUGCUAAUUGAGUAGCGAAACACUUUGUGGGAGUGAUUACUGUGCUUGUAUGCCAGUACAGAGUGAUGAUCUAUGUGAAGAUCUAUGUGAUGAUCUAUGUGAAGAUCUAUGUGAGGAUCUAUGAGAUGAUCCAUGUGACGAUUUUGUGUAUGUGAUGUGGAGUGUUGUUGAACAGUUGUUUUGUGAAUUUACAUUGUGAUGAAGGGAUUUAGUGGCCAUAGGAAUGUAUUUUUAUACAAAGGAUUGUGGCUUUGUAGAUUACUACAGAUUUGGAAAAGAUGGAGAUUCUAUGAUUAGGUCAACCUUAAUCGAGAGGAAUUGACUUACGCUUAAAUUUCGGGACGAAAUUUCUUUAAGGAGGGUAGAUUGUAAUACCCCGAAAAAUCCAAAUUAAAUUCUGUGGAUUUUUAGAAAUGAUUUCACGAUAGUGGGAGCGAGUACGAGGCUCGGAGGAAUUGUGGAAUUAGUUCGAACGAUUAAUUUUCGAAAAAACGAACGUUAUUUAGGGGGUCUCAAAAAGUGACUUUUUAUACAUUGGGAAUUUGGGAAAACUUCCUUCAUGAAAGUUGUAGAGGACAUUAAACCGAGUGCGUGCAUAUGUGGUACGUAAAAAUCGGAGUUCGUAUGCGAAAGUUAUAAGCAAAAUAUGAAAGUUACUGUUUAUGGUAGAUUGGUAUAAAUUUGAAAUGUUACUGUAGCCAGGUAACUUUUCUUUCUUUUCUCUCUCCUUCCCCCGUGCUCUCUCAGUCUCUCUCUUCUGCAACUCUCUCUUUCUCUCUUCUGCAACCUCCUCUUUCACCACCUCUAGACCACCAAAUGGCGAGCUGCGAGCAUCGAUAGACUCGUCUCUUCCUCCUUAUCACGCAUGUGGGAGUUGUUUACGACGAUUUGGCCGGAAAUGUGGAGAUCGAAGCCAACAUUUUUACUGUAGCAAAUUAGUCAACGCCGAUUUCCGGCCACCUCCAGUCAUAAACCCAGGUCCAUUAGAAGCGCCUUAAGCCGCUCUUCAUGCUCGCCAAGUCUCAUAACCCAGAUCGAAGCAUGGAGGAAGAAAGCAUAAUUGGAAAAUUUCACUGUACAUCGGAGUGCUUAAUUGUUCGGCUACUUCAAGGUGAUUGACGGUUUGAGUUGGUGGACGAUUGUGGAUCGUAUUUUGAGCUGAAUUGAAGACGCAGCGGGAUUAUCGAGCGGGUAAUCCUACAGGACAGGAGAACCAGGACGGUGACCGUGCGGUUAGAGCAAUUGUUAGAGUUUUACAGCAAUUGUAAGUUGUGAGGUGUGUUAUGCUCAUUUAGAGCUUUACAAUAUUGCUUGUGAGAGUGAAUUGUAAUAAUGAACUCGAGGUUUCGAGAUUUGGAGUUUGUGUACCUUGUGGUGAGAUUAUAUUGAGAAAAAAAUUCAGAACGUUUAUUUGAUUAAGUGGUUUAAUUCAUGUUUCGGAUUUGAAUUUAUUAUU